GAUCCUGGCUCAGGACGAACGCUGGCGGCGUGCCUAAUACAUGCAAGUAGAACGCUAAAGGAGGAGCUUGCUUCUCUGGAUGAGUUGCGAACGGGUGAGUAACGCGUAGGUAACCUGCCUGGUAGCGGGGGAUAACUAUUGGAAACGAUAGCUAAUACCGCAUAAUAGUAGUUGUUGCAUGACAACUGUUUGAAAGGUACAAUUGCAUCACUACCAGAUGGACCUGCGUUGUAUUAG
RNAcentral lists this ribosomal RNA (237 nucleotides) under uncultured bacterium. RNAcentral's name for it is "partial 16S ribosomal RNA". It matches the Rfam family "Bacterial small subunit ribosomal RNA", at positions 15 to 244 of the family's 1533-position model. The record is from RNAcentral.